RNAcentral lists this ribosomal RNA (303 nucleotides) under uncultured bacterium. RNAcentral's name for it is "partial 16S ribosomal RNA". It matches the Rfam family "Bacterial small subunit ribosomal RNA", at positions 507 to 807 of the family's 1533-position model. The record is from RNAcentral.
AGCAGUCGCCGCGGGAAUACAGAGGGUGCGAGCGUUAAUCGGAUUUACUGGGCGUAAAGCGUGCGUAGGCGGCUUUUUAAGUCGGAUGUGAAAUCCUUGAGCUUAACUUAGGAAUUGCAUUCGAUACUGGGAAGCUAGAGUAUGGGAGAGGAUGGUAGAAUUCCAGGUGUAGCGGUGAAAUGCGUAGAGAUCUGGAGGAAUACCGAUGGCGAAGGCAGCCAUCUGGCCUAAUACUGACGCUGAGGUACGAAAGCAUGGGGAGCAAACAGGAUUAGAUACCCCCGUAGUCCCUGUCUCUUAUAC